This 408-nucleotide ribosomal RNA is filed under the name Vibrio sp. WI22. Its description in RNAcentral is "bacterial SSU rRNA". It matches the Rfam family "Bacterial small subunit ribosomal RNA", at positions 56 to 452 of the family's 1533-position model. Lineage: Bacteria; Pseudomonadati; Pseudomonadota; Gammaproteobacteria; Vibrionales; Vibrionaceae. The record is from RNAcentral.
UGCAGUCGAGCGGAACGAGUUAACUGAACCUUCGGGGAACGUUAACGGCGUCGAGCGGCGGACGGGUGAGUAAUGCCUGGGAAAUUGCCCUGAUGUGGGGGAUAACCAUUGGAAACGAUGGCUAAUACCGCAUAAUAGCUUCGGCUCAAAGAGGGGGACCUUCGGGCCUCUCGCGUCAGGAUAUGCCCAGGUGGGAUUAGCUAGUUGGUGAGGUAAUGGCUCACCAAGGCGACGAUCCCUAGCUGGUCUGAGAGGAUGAUCAGCCACACUGGAACUGAGACACGGUCCAGACUCCUACGGGAGGCAGCAGUGGGGAAUAUUGCACAAUGGGCGCAAGCCUGAUGCAGCCAUGCCGCGUGUAUGAAGAAGGCCUUCGGGUUGUAAAGUACUUUCAGCAGUGAGGAAGGC